UACGGAAAAGUAGGCCUAAAAUGUUAUAGUGUCUAAAAACAAUAUUCAGUUAAUGGAAUUACACUUUUUUCCAUUACUGCUUGCUUGAUAUUGCCCUAACAACUUUUUCAUGAAUCAAUUUUGAGCAUUAUGUUUACAACGUAGUUAUUAUAGCACGAAUUAUGAGUCUAAAAUGCCAAAUACUUGCAACUAUUAUGUUAAUCACUGAAAUCUUAGUGUACUAAUUGCUCGCUAUAAGCUAGGUUAUUGCGCCCCUAAACCAACGUACUGACAACGCUACCUCCCCGGAACUCAAACUUUAACCGGGCAUGACUUGGUACAUCCAGUGACCCAGCAAAAAGUAGCCCUGGUACAGCCAGAAGUAGCAACAAAUCGCAAAAGGGGAUCCUUGUCUGACUGGUGGCUGGACCACAAUGACACUUGUUGGAAAAGGAAGGACCAAAGGUGCCAUCGUCGAGGGCCCAGAUAGAUGAAGAGAUUGAAGCCUGGGCUUCACACAAUCCUGUUAGUAACAAAAAAAGAAGGAAAAAAUGCUGUCCCAUUUGUCCAUAUGCCCAGCGCCAGAACCCAUUUAUACAUCUGGGUAGUGAGGAGAUGAAAAGGCCCAAAAGACAAAAAAACAGAGUGAGACAAAAUGUGCCGAGAUGGAGAAUGUCCAGAAAGGCGAUGUGAUGUCACUAUCAGGGGAGGUCCUGUACCCUGCUGAUAUGAUGGGGAGGGUCAGGAUAACCACAGACAGAAAACUGGUUAAUGAUCUCCUGAAGGGGGGUCUUCAGUAAACAGCUGAAAGAACACAGCAUGAGGGGGGCAUCGUGUAAUGCCCUAAAAAAAAAUGGCCAAAUUCCUCGACCCGCACUCGACCAAGACAAGGUGGAUGCCAUAAGAGCUUACGUCAGGAAUAUAUUUCCCCAGUUAACUGAUGCAGAAUUCAACACCUUUGGAAAUGAAUGCAUCAAGAACCAAAGGAAGCCGGGGAAGGAGGAGUAGUGACAUGAGUGAUGCCUGACCCCCAUUCUCCUAGCGAUCCUAAAGUCCGCUUAUUUUACCGCCGACAUCAAAGGAGGUGGAGCGGCAUGGGAUAUUGUUGCUGCUCUGGCCUUUUAGGCUGAACUGAUUAUACAUGUAGUUUACACUACAAAACUGUUCAUAUUAUAUUUUGUUGUUGUCUUGAACUCUGUUGGGUAUAAGACAAAAAUGGUUAUUUUAUAGCAGUUGGAUUGGAAUGCCAUGAUAUCAAAUACAUGCAGCUUUUUUGUUGGUCACCAACUGGUAGCAAUCAUCUUUGACAUCAGCUGGAUUCUGCUCUCUGUUUUCCACAUGAAUUAUAUUGUACACUUCAAUGUAGGAUAGUGUCUUGAAAGAAGUGCUAAUAUACGCCAAUAGAUAAAGUAGAA
Lineus longissimus is the source of this 1394-nucleotide long non-coding RNA. RefSeq lists it as uncharacterized. The record is from RefSeq and is a predicted model, not a curated record. The transcript is spliced from 6 exons. NCBI's taxonomy places the organism in Eukaryota, Metazoa, Nemertea, Pilidiophora, Heteronemertea, Lineidae.